Molecule: ribosomal RNA, 469 nt
Filed under: Clostridiales bacterium canine oral taxon 100
Lineage: Bacteria; Bacillati; Bacillota; Clostridia; Eubacteriales
Description: bacterial SSU rRNA
Rfam family: Bacterial small subunit ribosomal RNA
Source: RNAcentral
GAGUUUGAUUCUGGCUCAGGAUAAACGCUGGCGGCGUACAUAAGACAUGCAAGUCGAACGGCGGAAGCUGGAAGUUUUAAACAUCUAGUGGAAACCGUGGCGGACGGGUGAGUAACACGUAAGUAACCUGCCUAUAAGAGGGGGAUAACAGGAAGAAAUUCCUGACAAUACCGCAUAAGCUAGAAUUACCGCAUGGUAAAGUUAGAAAAGAUUUAUUACUUAUAGAUGGGCUUGCGACUGAUUAGCUAGUUGGUGAGAUAAUAGCUCACCAAGGCGACGAUCAGUAGCCGGAUUGAGAGGUUGAACGGCCACAUUGGGACUGAGACACGGCCCAGACUCCUACGGGAGGCAGCAGUCGGGAAUAUUGCACAAUGGAGGAAACUCUGAUGCAGUGAACGCCGCGUAUAGGAAGAAGGUCUUAGGAUUGUAAGCUAUUGUUCGUGUGAGAAGAAAAUGACUUCCCCGGGGA